GUGUCUGUAGCUCAGUUGGAUAGAGCACCGGCCUUCUAAGCCGGGUGUCGGGGGUUCGAAUCCCUUCAGGCACA
Molecule: transfer RNA, 74 nt
Filed under: Agathobacter rectalis
Lineage: Bacteria; Bacillati; Bacillota; Clostridia; Lachnospirales; Lachnospiraceae
Also listed under: 13 other names
Description: [Eubacterium] rectale transfer RNA-Arg
Rfam family: tRNA
About the family: Transfer RNA (tRNA) molecules are approximately 80 nucleotides in length. Their secondary structure includes four short double-helical elements and three loops (D, anti-codon, and T loops).
Source: RNAcentral